UACUUUAUAAAGAAAAACAAGAUAAAACAAAAGUAGAUGGGCUGAGUUAUAUGAGCUGAGCGCUACAGCCUCUUAAUCGUACAUGACUCGGUCAGCAACUGUAGUGAUUCAUUCUGCCAUAUCCAGCUACUCAAAAUACAGAACAAACAAGCUUAUUAAACUGAAUCAUUCUAUUCAGCCACUUUCAGCAGCAAACAAAUGGCC
This 204-nucleotide long non-coding RNA is filed under the name Daucus carota (carrot). RNAcentral's name for it is "long non-coding RNA (DCAR_LNC006499)". The record is from RNAcentral. Lineage: Eukaryota; Viridiplantae; Streptophyta; Magnoliopsida; Apiales; Apiaceae.